This 329-nucleotide unclassified non-coding RNA is filed under the name soil metagenome. RNAcentral's name for it is "partial contains 5.8S ribosomal RNA, internal transcribed spacer 2, and large subunit ribosomal RNA". The stretch from base 1 to 120 matches the Rfam family "5.8S ribosomal RNA", at positions 35 to 154 of the family's 154-position model. The record is from RNAcentral.
GAUGAAGAACGCAGUGAAAUGCGAUAAGUAGUGUGAAUUGCAGAAUUCAGUGAAUCAUCGAAUCUUUGAACGCACAUUGCGCCCCCUGGUAUUCCGGGGGGCAUGCCUGUCCGAGCGUCAUUACAACCCUCAAGCUCAGCUUGGUGUUGGGCCCCGCCGCCCCGGCGGGCCCUAAAGUCAGUGGCGGUGCCGUCCGGCUCCGAGCGUAGUAAUUCUUCUCGCUCUGGAGGUCCGGUCGUGUGCUCGCCAGCAACCCCCAAUUUUUUUCAGGUUGACCUCGGAUCAGGUAGGGAUACCCGCUGAACUUAAGCAUAUCAAUAAGCGGAGGA